MicroRNA precursor from Loxodonta africana (African savanna elephant), 83 nucleotides. The record is from Ensembl. Lineage: Eukaryota; Metazoa; Chordata; Mammalia; Proboscidea; Elephantidae.
CGUGUGCGUCUGCUGCUGGAUGCGCUUGAUCGUGGCGCCCUUGGGCCCCACCACGAGCCCCACCACGCGGUAAGGCACCCGCA